GUACUGUUGCUGGAAAUUGGACCCGGGGGCCGCCGUGAAGCCGGGGAAGGAGGAGCUCCGCUGCUGCAGGAGGCGGACGGCGGUGCGCCGGCUGGCUGCGUCCUCCGCCGCGGGGGGUGUGCAAGUCCUGCAAGGAAAACCGGUGGCCGGGCUCCCCGGCGCCGGCCCUCCGAUGCCUAAGUCAGAGGGGGCAAGUAUGUGGAGAGAGCGGGGAAGAGGAAGUGUAUGGAGAAAACACAGUAUUUUAUCAGAUCAAGAAGACGAAGGGAAUGAUGUCAUCAAUUGUGUCUGUGCUUCCCGGAGAGUUCAGUCCUGGGGGUCUGUUUCCGUUUU
RNAcentral lists this long non-coding RNA (333 nucleotides) under Phoenix dactylifera (date palm). Its description in RNAcentral is "long non-coding RNA (PDAC_LNC007363)". The record is from RNAcentral. Lineage: Eukaryota; Viridiplantae; Streptophyta; Magnoliopsida; Arecales; Arecaceae.